Molecule: ribosomal RNA, 253 nt
Filed under: uncultured bacterium
Lineage: Bacteria
Description: partial 16S ribosomal RNA
Rfam family: Bacterial small subunit ribosomal RNA
Source: RNAcentral
UACGAAGGGGGCUAGCGUUGUUCGGAUUUACUGGGCGUAAAGCGCACGUAGGCGGAUCUUUAAGUCAGGGGUGAAAUCCCGAGGCUCAACCUCGGAACUGCCUUUGAUACUGGAGAUCUUGAGUUCGGGAGAGGUGAGUGGAACUGCGAGUGUAGAGGUGAAAUUCGUAGAUAUUCGCAAGAACACCAGUGGCGAAGGCGGCUCACUGGCCCGGUACUGACGCUGAGGUGCGAAAGCGUGGGGAGCAAACAGG